Puntigrus tetrazona (Sumatra barb) is the source of this 439-nucleotide long non-coding RNA. RefSeq lists it as uncharacterized. Lineage: Eukaryota; Metazoa; Chordata; Actinopteri; Cypriniformes; Cyprinidae. The record is from RefSeq and is a predicted model, not a curated record. The transcript has 4 exons.
CUCAUACAAGAAGCUUCCCAUCUUUGUGGUUGGUGGGCAUUCCUCUGCAUUCCACCAAACCUUGUUGGACAAAACACUCUGGAGAAAACUUUGAAAGAAAGGGAUCACAGAAACUCACAUUUGGACCAUAAAAGCCAUGCGACUCUGGAGCAGCAAAAAAAUAGCAUCCUGACAUUGCUAGACAUUACUCCUUGACACUGUCAUGGGCUGUGACAUCAAAGUCAGCUAAAAUAAAAAAGAAAUGUAAUUUCCCAAGACGUCAACUGAUGAACUGAAGUCACGUGGAUUACUUGUUGAUCGUUGUGAUGCUCCCAUUCUGACGGCACCCAUUCACUGCAACGGAUCUUUUGAUUCCUUCUCAUGCUGUGUCAUCUGAAUGCUGUGAGUAACUGGUAUGCAGAGAGAAGCAGUGCGGUAUUCCCCUCACUCAGCAAACCAG